This 1333-nucleotide long non-coding RNA is filed under the name Setaria viridis. Its description in RNAcentral is "long non-coding RNA (SVIR_LNC002197)". The record is from RNAcentral. Lineage: Eukaryota; Viridiplantae; Streptophyta; Magnoliopsida; Poales; Poaceae.
GUGCCAUUCAGAGACUGCAUUGCAUCUGCGUUGGACAGAAUUUUGGUGCAUUCCUUGAGCUGAAUAAUCGUAAUAAGUAGCCGUUCCAGGCUUCCUGAAAAUCCAGCGUUACCUGUUUCUUGGGUAACCUGAAGACUGUAAAUGUGCUCUAACCGUGCUGUUUAGACUCUGUUCCUGUGCCCCAUGUCUCAAAACCUGCAUUCCGUUUCCAAUUGUUCCAUCCUUAUAGUGACUAUUUUCCAUGAGUUGUCUUUGAAUUUCUUGAUCGGUGAUUGGUAAAGUGAAGUCAGUGCUGAGGCUGUUGGUCUGACUGGGGCGAUGAGAUUGUCACCUGAUCUCACACACACACAAAAGGAAAUAAGGCAUUUUAGAGAUUUUGGUUACCCGACACGGCCCAUUUUCUAGUUGUAGAUCGUCCGCGCAGACCGCACGCCCGGUGGGAUACUCCAGGCCGCUUCUCGUCAGUUUGGGCCUCUGCUUUCAGAACAAAAUUAUUGGACAGUAACUAAUUCCCCAAAAAAAUUGCAGACAUUAUGCAAAUCUGAUCAUAUUUACAAUUCCCAAUUACUAGCAUACAUAAUUAGAAAUAUAUCCGCCAUCAAAUCAAAGAUGCCUGUUGAAGACUAUCCAGAUCGGCGAUCAUAUCUUGAAACAGGCUGCGCCGUAUCACUUGCAAUUCUGCUGCGCAUCAACGCGCUAGUUAGUCACGGGCAGCUAGAAACGGCUUUCUCUAUCAGUUUACCCCUCUUCUUUUUCCCUCCGCCGCGUUGGUCCAACGGAAACUCCAGCACGGAAAAGCGAACGCGCCACAAAAGCCCACAACGACCAACCCGUUAGUAGCCGCGACGAGUCAACGGGCGGGUCGCCGACGCGGCGCGGAGCGAGCCACAGACGCAGCCAUGAGCUGGGGCAAGAGAGUCAAGGCCUCGCCGCGAGGGCACCGGCACCGGCACCACCAACGCCCCCGUCCGAAUUGACCCGAGAUCACAUGGCCGCUUUGCCUGUUUCCUCGAAGGAGAACAGGUUUCGGUUACUGUCGCGAGCAGGAUCCCGUCCCUGUCGAUCCUUGAUGGAAUUAGGAAUGCCGGGAAUGAAAACGCUUUUCCCUCCACGACAGGUCGGUCGGUGUGGGGAUCGAUCACCUGACUAGUCCAGGAAACGAAAUUAUUGGCAGUCCACAGGAAAAUGGGUAGCAGCAAUCAAGCUGGGAAAACUCUAAGAGACGAAUUCGUCAGAUAUACCAUCGGCACCGGCAGGCAGUACUGUGUGCCAUUUCAUCGUGAAGGUAACAUCUGACAGGCAAUUCUGCAACGUAACAUGCACAAAAAAAAAA